AUUGAACGCUGGCGGCAUGCCUUACACAUGCAAGUCGAACGGUAACAGGUCUUUCGGGAUGCUGACGAGUGGCGAACGGGUGAGUAAUACAUCGGAACGUGCCUAGUAGUGGGGGAUAACUACUCGAAAGAGUGGCUAAUACCGCAUGAGAUCUAUGGAUGAAAGCAGGGGACCUUCGGGCCUUGUGCUACUAGAGCGGCCGAUGGCAGAUUAGGUAGUUGGUGGGAUAAAAGCCUACCAAGCCUACGAUCUGUAACUGGUCUGAGAGGACGAGCAGCCACACUGGGACUGAGACACGGCCCAGACUCCUACGGGGGGCAGCAGUGGGGAAUUUUGGACAAUGGGCGCAAGCCUGAUCCAGCAAUGCCGCGUGCAGGAUGAAGGCCUUCGGGUUGUAAACUGCUUUUGUACGGAACGAAAAGUCUUGGGUUAAUACCCUGGGAUCAUGACGGUACCGUAAGAAUAAGCACCGGCUAACUACGUGCCAGCCGCCGCCGUAA
Molecule: ribosomal RNA, 500 nt
Filed under: uncultured bacterium
Lineage: Bacteria
Description: partial 16S ribosomal RNA
Rfam family: Bacterial small subunit ribosomal RNA
Source: RNAcentral